Peromyscus maniculatus bairdii (prairie deer mouse) is the source of this 1197-nucleotide non-coding RNA. Lineage: Eukaryota; Metazoa; Chordata; Mammalia; Rodentia; Cricetidae. The record is from RefSeq and is a predicted model, not a curated record.
GUAAACUGGCUGAAUGAUGCUUCCUCUGAAGCCCCUCCAUCCUGCCUGUUGUAAAACUUCUGAAUGCUAACACAAGCUGUCGGCAUAUGUAACGGAACCAACGCUGACAAGCUCAGUCGGAGCAACACGGUUACAAAUUUGGCAAGAGCAAGGAUGGACUAACAGAAACACCAGCCUUGAACCCGUCUCAGCAUGAGAUGGCCCGCCUAGCCUGGGAGGAUAGUCACAAAGGUUCCGAGUCAGGAAGCCACGCCCACACAAAGGUAAAUUCAGCUCUCCUCACAGAAGCUUCUUUCUGCAGCCCACAGAGGUGCUUACAAAGACCCACAACUGGUCAAAAUGCAGCGUAAGAGACUGUGGGGUGCCCUUUUGGUACAUCAAGACCACAACCUCUACACCCAGCCUCAGAGGACAUCACAAAAGCAUGGAAUGAUGCAAGAGGCAGAGAGUUGAACACCUGAAGUGAGACAGUGUCUUCUGCACACACAGAAGUCGAUCCCUGAAAUCAGAAGUCGAUCCCUGAAAUCACAAGUAUGGUUGUCAAAACAGAUCUGCAUAAUGACAACAGCAGGUGACGUGGCCUGGUGGAGGGGGAAUUCCAAAGCCCCACCCCCAGCUCUGAUAAAGAGCUACAGUCAACCAAUUGCUGCAGAGAGGGGAAAAGUUUUCUCCAAAAACAAGUCCUCCACGACGUUGUCUAACGUCUCACAUUCAGGCCUAACACAUGCACACACAAGCAACACUAAAUGGACCAGUAGGCUGCGUGUGGGGGUAUACAUGUUAUAAUUACUGCAUAUAUAAAGUAUAUACAUGUAAUAAUUAUAAAAGAGGUCGUGAGUUUAAGAGGGAGUGAGGAGGACAUGAGAGGAGUUGGAGGGGUGAAAAUGAUUUAAGUACAGUAUUCCUGCAUAAAAAUCUCAAAACAUCCAAAAUAUAUAAUUUUUUAGAAAGUAUAAUUCCUUUAUGUGAGUGUCUAGAACAAAGAUUCAUCUGCCCAGGGUUCUCUACGGCCACAAGUCCUUCAACAAAGGACUUCUCCAUCUGAAACAGGAACGGUGAAUGCAGGGAAUUAAUUCAGAGGAUCUUGGAUCCAUGAUCAGCUUGGAGCAGCAGCAUACACCCAUCCGGAAAUGUAAGCUACUGUUUUCAAUUGAAACAUCAGCCUUAUGUCCAUAAGUUUACAAGCAAUCCCUAAUG